CCUACGGGUGGCAGCAGUGAGGCAUAUUGGUCAAUGGACGCAAGUCUGAACCAGCCAUGCCGCGUGCAGGAAGACGGCUCUAUGAGUUGUAAACUGCUUUUGUACGAGGGUAAACUCAGAUACGCGUAUCUGUCUGAAAGUAUCGUACGAAUAAGGAUCGGCUAACUCCGUGCCAGCAGCCGCGGUAAUACGGAGGAUUCAAGCGUUAUCCGGAUUUAUUGGGUUUAAAGGGUGCGUAGGCGGUCGGAUAAGUUAGAGGUGAAAUCCCGAGGCUCAACUUCGGAAUUGCCUCUGAUACUGUUAGGCUAGAGUGUAGUUGCGGUAGGCGGAAUGUAUGGUGUAGCGGUGAAAUGCUUAGAGAUCAUACAGAACACCGAUUGCGAAGGCAGCUUACCAAGCUACGUCUGACGUUGAGGCACGAAAGCGUGGGGAGCAAACAGGAUUAGAUACCCUUGUAGUC
RNAcentral lists this ribosomal RNA (460 nucleotides) under uncultured bacterium. Its description in RNAcentral is "partial 16S ribosomal RNA". It matches the Rfam family "Bacterial small subunit ribosomal RNA", at positions 338 to 795 of the family's 1533-position model. The record is from RNAcentral.